GCUUGUCUCAAAGAUUAAGCCAUGCAUGUCUCAGCAUAAGCUUCAACACGGUGAAACUGCAAAUGGCUCAUUAAAGCAGUUACAAUUUAUUUGAUGGUCACUGUUACAUGGAUAACUGUGGUAAUUCUAGAGCUAAUACAUGCGCAAAUUCCCGACUGUCGCAAGGCGGAAAGGAUGUAUUUAUUAGAUCCAACCAGCCCGGUUCGCCGGAGUCCCUGGUGAGUCAUAAUAACUGAGCGAAUCGCAUGGCCUUGUGCCGGCGAUGGUUCAUUCAAGUUUCUGCCCUAUCAGCUUUCGAUGGUAGGGUAUUGGCCUACCAUGGCGUUAACGGGUAACGGAGAAUUAGGGUUCGAUUCCGGAGAGGGAGCCUGAGAAACGGCUACCACAUCCAAGGAAGGCAGCAGG
Molecule: ribosomal RNA, 405 nt
Filed under: uncultured Bicosoecida
Lineage: Eukaryota; Bigyra; Bicosoecida
Description: partial small subunit ribosomal RNA
Rfam family: Eukaryotic small subunit ribosomal RNA
Source: RNAcentral